GAUGAACGCUGGCGGCGUGCCUAAUACAUGCAAGUCGAGCGAACAGACGAGGAGCUUGCUCCUCUGACGUUAGCGGCGGACGGGUGAGUAACACGUGGAUAACCUACCUAUAAGACUGGGAUAACUUCGGGAAACCGGAGCUAAUACCGGAUAAUAUAUUGAACCGCAUGGUUCAAUAGUGAAAGACGGUUUUGCUGUCACUUAUAGAUGGAUCCGCGCCGCAUUAGCUAGUUGGUAAGGUAACGGCUUACCAAGGCAACGAUGCGUAGCCGACCUGAGGGGGUGAUCGGCCACACUGGAACUGAGACACGGUCCAGACUCCUACGGGAGGCAGCAGUAGGGAAUCGUCCGCAAUGGGCGAAAGUAUUACGGAGCAACGCCGCGCGAGUUAUGAAGGUGUCCGGAUCGUAAAACCCUGUUAUUAGGGAAGAACAACUGUGUAAGUAACUAUGCACGUCUUGACGGUACCUAAUCAGAAAGCCACGGCUAACUACGUG
This 497-nucleotide ribosomal RNA is filed under the name uncultured bacterium. RNAcentral's name for it is "partial 16S ribosomal RNA". It matches the Rfam family "Bacterial small subunit ribosomal RNA", at positions 28 to 507 of the family's 1533-position model. The record is from RNAcentral.